This 24-nucleotide microRNA is filed under the name Homo sapiens (human). RNAcentral describes it as "hsa-miR-6853-5p". Lineage: Eukaryota; Metazoa; Chordata; Mammalia; Primates; Hominidae. The record is from miRBase by way of RNAcentral.
AGCGUGGGAUGUCCAUGAAGUCAG